GGGUGAGGGGGGAAAUACAGUCGCCCAAGAAAUUCAAGUUGUGAAGCAAAAAAGGUUCCGGCUUCAAUAGAUCAAUCAAUGCACUUUAUCUUUUUUUAGUUCUGCAUUAUUUCUUUUUUGGUUUUCCUUUCUUUUCUAACAUCAUGACACUACAAUUUUAUCUAAAAUGUUAACUUUCUUUCACCAUGCUUGGACCUGGACACUUUGUUUUGAUACAAUAGGAAAUGUUGGAAAAAUAGUUGUUGAUUGUAGUUUUGCUUGGUGACUUUGCUUAUGCUGCGUUGCGUUCUAUUUUCUUAAAUGAACAAAUCCAUGGUACAAAGAUUAUUACCUUGUGAUUUUUGUUUAUGUAUACAAAUCUAUCAUUGGAUGGUAAAACUUGGGUCCUAUGAAUACUUGCGACAAGCAACUUGUGGAUAAAACAAAUAAAACAUAGAAUAUUAACUACAAGCAACUUAAGAAUGA
This 465-nucleotide long non-coding RNA is filed under the name Lupinus angustifolius (narrow-leaved blue lupine). RNAcentral's name for it is "long non-coding RNA (LANG_LNC001744)". The record is from RNAcentral. Lineage: Eukaryota; Viridiplantae; Streptophyta; Magnoliopsida; Fabales; Fabaceae.